Molecule: non-coding RNA, 70 nt
Organism: Podarcis lilfordi (Lilford's wall lizard)
Lineage: Eukaryota; Metazoa; Chordata; Lepidosauria; Squamata; Lacertidae
Source: the annotation of a GenBank genome assembly
GGCUAGCUCAGUUGGUCAGACAGUGAUGCUGAUAACGCCAAGGUGGCAGGUUUGAUCCCUGUGUGGAACA